GACGAACGCUGGCGGCGCGCCUAACACAUGCAAGUCGAACGGAGCAUUGAAGCUUGCUUUGAUGCUUAGUGGCGAACGGGUGAGUAACACGUGAGCAAUCUGCCUUCGAGUGGGGGACAACAGUUGGAAACGACUGCUAAUACCGCAUAAGACCACGCUCCCGCAUGGGAGAGCGGUCAAAGGAUUUAUUCGCUUGAAGAUGAGCUCGCGUCCGAUUAGAUAGUUGGUGAGGUAACGGCCCACCAAGUCGACGAUCGGUAGCCGGACUGAGAGGUUGAACGGCCACAUUGGGACUGAGAUACGGCCCAGACUCCUACGGGAGGCAGCAGUGGGGAAUAUUGGGCAAUGGGGGAAACCCUGACCCAGCAACGCCGCGUGAAGGAAGAAGGGCCCUUCGGGUUGGUAAAC
RNAcentral lists this ribosomal RNA (408 nucleotides) under uncultured bacterium. Its description in RNAcentral is "bacterial SSU rRNA". It matches the Rfam family "Bacterial small subunit ribosomal RNA", at positions 28 to 430 of the family's 1533-position model. The record is from RNAcentral.